This 253-nucleotide ribosomal RNA is filed under the name uncultured bacterium. RNAcentral's name for it is "partial 16S ribosomal RNA". It matches the Rfam family "Bacterial small subunit ribosomal RNA", at positions 524 to 776 of the family's 1533-position model. The record is from RNAcentral.
UACGUAGGGUGCAAGCGUUAUCCGGAUUUAUUGGGCGUAAAGGGCUCGUAGGCGGUUCGUCGCGUCCGGUGUGAAAGUCCAUCGCUUAACGGUGGAUCCGCGCCGGGUACGGGCGGGCUUGAGUGCGGUAGGGGAGACUGGAAUUCCCGGUGUAACGAUGGAAUGUGUAGAUAUCGGGAAGAACACCAAUGGCGAAGGCAGGUCUCUGGGCCGUUACUGACGCUGAGGAGCGAAAGCGUGGGGAGCGAACAGG